UGGGGAAUUUUGGACAAUGGGCGAAAGCCUGAUCCAGCAAUGCCGCGUGUGUGAAGAAGGCCUUCGGGUUGUAAAGCACUUUUGUCCGGAAAGAAAUCCUUGGCUCUAAUACAGUCGGGGGAUGACGGUACCGGAAGAAUAAGCACCGGCUAACUACGUGCCAGCAGCCGCGGUAAUACGUAGGGUGCAAGCGUUAAUCGGAAUUACUGGGCGUAAAGCGUGCGCAGGCGGUUUGCUAAGACCGAUGUGAAAUCCCCGGGCUCAACCUGGGAACUGCAUUGGUGACUGGCAGGCUAGAGUAUGGCAGAGGGGGGUAGAAUUCCACGUGUAGCAGUGAAAUGCGUAGAGAUGUGGAGGAAUACCGAUGGCGAAGGCAGCCCCCUGGCCAAGUACUGACGCUCAUGCACGAAAGCGUGGGGAGCAAACAGGAUUAGAUACCCUGGUAGUCCACGCCCCUAAACGAUGUCAACUAGUUGUUGGGGAUUUCAUUUCCUUAGUAACGUAGCUAACGCGUG
This 515-nucleotide ribosomal RNA is filed under the name uncultured bacterium. Its description in RNAcentral is "partial 16S ribosomal RNA". It matches the Rfam family "Bacterial small subunit ribosomal RNA", at positions 355 to 861 of the family's 1533-position model. The record is from RNAcentral.